Molecule: long non-coding RNA, 578 nt
Filed under: Malus domestica (apple)
Lineage: Eukaryota; Viridiplantae; Streptophyta; Magnoliopsida; Rosales; Rosaceae
Description: long non-coding RNA (MDOM_LNC018395)
Source: RNAcentral
CCUUCCACUACCUGAGAAAGCAAAGUAGUAAGGUUAGCCAUUUGAUUUUGAAGUUCGGUUAUGGCACUUACCUUAUUGACUUGAUGUGGUCGUGGGUUACUCCUUUGUCCAACGCCUUCAUAUUGUUAAGCAUUCAACGCACGGUUGGAAAUUAAAGUCUUUGCUGCCGUGGGGGUCUUGUCCACCAAGGCUCCUCCCGCCGAGGCAUCUAGCAUUUGACGUUCGAUAGGUAGUAGCCCCUCGUAGAAGUAUUGCAAAAGAAGUUCCUCAUUCAUCUGAUGUUGUGGGCAAGAAGCAACAAGAGAUUUAAAACGUUCAUAAUAAGUAGGAAAAGAUUCACCUUCCUCUUGUUAAAUUCCACUUAUCCUUUUCCGUAGGAGGAUGACUCGAGAAGUUGGGAAAAAUUUCUCCAAGAAGGCCCGUUUCAUGCUUUCCCAUGAUGUGACGGUUCCGGGCUCCAAUUCGUACAACCAAUCCUUCGCCUUUUCCAAGAGAGAAAAAGGGAAGGCUUUCAUCUUCAAAAUACUCCCAUCGACAUUGACGGGGGUCAUGCUCGAACACACUACCUCGAAUUCUUU